AUAGCCCUACGGGGCGCAGCAGUGAGGAAUAUUGGUCAAUGGCCGAGAGGCUGAACCAGCCAAGUCGCGUGAGGGAAGACGGCCCUACGGGUUGUAAACCUCUUUUGUCGGGGAGCAAAGCGAGUCACGUGUGACUCAUUGAGAGUACCCGAAGAAAAAGCAUCGGCUAACUCCGUGCCAGCAGCCGCGGUAAUACGGAGGAUGCGAGCGUUAUCCGGAUUUAUUGGGUUUAAAGGGUGCGUAGGCGGACGCUUAAGUCAGCGGUAAAAUUGCGGGGCUCAACCUCGUCGAGCCGUUGAAACUGG
This 305-nucleotide ribosomal RNA is filed under the name uncultured bacterium. RNAcentral describes it as "bacterial SSU rRNA". It matches the Rfam family "Bacterial small subunit ribosomal RNA", at positions 333 to 636 of the family's 1533-position model. The record is from RNAcentral.